ACUGCUGAGGUCAGACGAGAGUGCAUCCUCAAAGGUCUGUGUGUGUACCUAAAUGAAGAUCCAGAGAAGCUGGUGAGGGAGUACAUGGACGUUGAUGAAUGAAAUGGUCAAAGCCGAGACUGUCCUCGGAAUCGUCAUUUGAGCAGAGGGUGCAGAGGCUGCUGAUGCACAUCUGGAUGUUGGGAUUGUCCUGGAGGAGGUGGAAGUUAUGAACAGCUUGGGCAGUGUAUCUUCUGCAAUAGUGAUGCUGCUGCGACUUAUCUACGCACUAAACUUGAGCUACCCUCAAGUUUAGUGCGUUCAGCACUCAACUUGCUCAGUAACUCAAGCAUACCUUUGAAGUAAUACAGAAAAUAAUAAUGAAAUUGGAUGGAAAGAACUUAUCAAAGAAAGCACAAGUUCUCAAUAUGAAACUCGCUGCUAAGUUGAGUAAAGUUUCAUAUGGAAAAUGAGUGUUUAAAGUCUGCAGUAGAAAAGAUUUAUAUUGUUACAGUUCUCUAAGUUGAGCAACUAUACUGACAUGUUUUAUGUUGUAAAGAAUUGGCUGGGAAAUGAAACUGUAACCUUUUUGUAGUUGUUUUUUUAUUUCAAUGUCCAACUCAGCUGUGUUUUGUGCUGUGUAAAAAGACGAUGUAUAACAAUUCUGAAAAUACAAUUGUGUUGUACCUUU
Molecule: long non-coding RNA, 670 nt
Organism: Poeciliopsis prolifica (blackstripe livebearer)
Lineage: Eukaryota; Metazoa; Chordata; Actinopteri; Cyprinodontiformes; Poeciliidae
Exons: 2
Source: RefSeq, a predicted model, not a curated record